GUCAAAUACUGAUUGGCCAGUUUGGAAAAAAAAAAAAAAGAAAAAAAAAGAACUAGAUAGAUGCUAACACGCGGAACUUGUUUUUAAAUCAUGUAACUUUCACCUGUUUGAGUAGCUUUAUCCAAUCAACAUAGACAUUGAGGAGAAUAUUGAAACUCUGGGAAGGACAGGAAAAUAACCUCCCAGUGACUCUACGACAACGGUCUACAAUUUCUGCUCUUCUGAUCUAUUCUUGCUUUAGCGUGCUCUACUAAGGUGCUCGGUCAAUUUCAUUAGUUUGUGUAUGUUAGGUUUGUAAUCCAAAUUCAAUUGAAUUUUUUUUUUUUUUUUGAAAAAAAUAUUGUUUUCUUUGUUCCACAUUUUUUUAUUGGAAAAAUAUUAUUUUCCUUAUUUCACUCUUUUUUUUUUUAUACACUAUUUCAAUUUUUAAGAAUAUUGUUAGGGUUUUGAUAUGUCCCCUCUAUAUAGUUGACUCUUAUUUAUAAUUUGAUUUACAACAGGAGUUAGAAUAAUUAUCGGAAACACAAUUGUUGUAAUUCUUUCUUCAUUAUAGCUGAAUAAAAUCUUCAGUUCCUCUGCUAAGUUAAAUUUCUGUUUUUGUGUUUAUCUUUUUUGUUAUGAUCAAUACUUAAUAUUGUGUUGUAUAAUCUCGUUCCGUCCCCAAAAAAGUGCUACGUGGUCUUUAAUUUGAUUUAUUUGAGGUUUUUUUGUACUAGAUGGCAAUCAUGAUGUAUGACAUUUCGCUUUUAGAUCGCGACAAUAGAUUUUCGUUCGGUUGGUGAAGAUGGGAGCAGUACUCGCUCAAAUGAACUUGGAUGAUGUGUUGUUGAAAUUUGACAAUAUGCCCAUAACUUGAUCGACAGAGAGAAAUAACAUAAGAAUCGGAAGACACUUUCACAAAUUUAUCGUCAUCUUUCGAAUAACAUUUUCUAGGAUGUUUUUAAAAGAGAAAAUGACAGCUGCGUUGUGGUUGGAGUUGGAGCAAUUAUGCAUGACUAAGAGUCUAACUGGCAAAUUACACAUGAAGCAGCGUUUGUAUUUUUAUCGCAUGACAGAAAGCAGAUCGUUGAAAGAUUACCUGACUGUUUUUAAGGAGAUCGUCGCUGAUUUGAAAGCUUUAGAGAUAACGUAUGAUAAAGAAUAUUCGACUUUAAUUUUCUGUGUUCAUUUCCCACUUCGUUUACUUCUUUUAGACACACUUUUAUAUACUCACUAUAUUCUCAUUAUUGAAGAUUCAUAUGAAGCUUUGUUUCAAAUGAGAAGAUGAAGCAUCUAGUUAGAUUUAAGGCUUGGGAUGGAGAAGGCCUUGUUGUUCAUAGUGGUCACGGAAGAGACAUGUCGAAAUCUAAUUUCAGUAAUCAAGUUUAUUUUUAUUGCAAGAAGAAAUGGCACAUCAAGAAGGAUUGCAACAUGCUGGCUACAAAAUUAGAAGGGAAAGCAAUUAGAAACUAUAGGUGAAGCUAGUGUUGAGGAGAACUACUCGAGAGAUGGAGAUGUGUUGGCUAUUUUUGACGAAAAGUCCCAACCUGACGAAGAUUAGAUUUUGGAUAUAGCUUGUGCCUUUUCAUAUAUGUCCCUAUUGAGAUUUAUUUUCAAUUUAAGAAAUAGUUUCAACAAUUGUCAUGGUUUAGAAACAAUGUACCUUGUCUAGUAGCCCGUAUUGGUAGAAUUAGACUUAAGCUAGGGGAUAAGACAGUUAGAAUACUUGAUCAGGUACGACGUGUUUCAAAUUUGAAGAAAAAUCUCAUCUUGUUAAGCAUUCUUGAGUUUAAAGGGUACAAAUUCUUUGGUGGAGGAAAAGUUUGGAGCGUUUGCAAAGGUGUUCAUGUUGUAUUGGAGGGACAGAAAAAGUCUCAGUUGUAUUCUUGCAAGGUUGCACAGAAUGCUUGAAUAACAAUCAGCAAAGGUUUAUUAUCAUGGUGGAUAUUCAGUUUAGUACAAUACCAUUGAGAUUUAAUUUGGGGUCCAUGUUAAAGAAUACAACCCACUCAAGUUCAAGGAUAUGGGUAAUGUUGCUUUACCACUACCCGUGGUGCCAUCGUAUUUUUUAUUAGGGACUGACCCAAUGAAGAUAGGUAGGUAAGUCGAUACUGAUUUUUUGCACAUGCUUUAAGUGUAUUUGAAGGUGUUGAAUCUAAUAAAGGGCCUUCUACAAAAGUAUUUUGUGUUGAUUCUAUUUCAGGCUGUGUUUCGAUUUUGUUUGGUAAAUUUUAAAUCAUUUGUGAUUUUUGGUUGAACCCGAGGUGAUUAUGAGGAACAGUGUUUGAAUUAAUUUAUCCUAGUUGGAUAUCCUGGUAAAGGUGGAGAAUUUAUUAUUCAUUGGAGAAGUUACUGUUGUUCGUGUUGAAGAGUUCAGUUCUUUCCUUGCAAUUGAAUUCUCUCUUCAGUUAAGAAAUUUUGGAGUUUCAUUCAUUGCAGUGGAAAUCGUGAAAAUGAGAAGAUUGUUGGGGGUUGUGAUCCAAAUUCAAUUGUUUUUUUUCUAAAAAAAAUAUUGUUUCC
This 2499-nucleotide long non-coding RNA is filed under the name Olea europaea subsp. europaea. The record is from RNAcentral. Lineage: Eukaryota; Viridiplantae; Streptophyta; Magnoliopsida; Lamiales; Oleaceae.